RNAcentral lists this ribosomal RNA (429 nucleotides) under Chloroflexota bacterium. RNAcentral describes it as "Chloroflexi bacterium partial 16S ribosomal RNA". It matches the Rfam family "Bacterial small subunit ribosomal RNA", at positions 355 to 776 of the family's 1533-position model. Lineage: Bacteria; Bacillati; Chloroflexota. The record is from RNAcentral.
UGGGGAAUAUUGCACAAUGGGCGCAAGCCUGAUGCAGCCAUGCCGCGUGUGUGAAGAAGGCCUUCGGGUUGUAAAGCACUUUCAGCGGGGAGGAAGGCGAUAAGGUUAAUAACCUUGUCGAUUGACGUUACCCGCAGAAGAAGCACCGGCUAACUCCGUGCCAGCAGCCGCGGUAAUACGGAGGGUGCAAGCGUUAAUCGGAAUUACUGGGCGUAAAGCGCACGCAGGCGGUCUGUCAAGUCGGAUGUGAAAUCCCCGGGCUCAACCUGGGAACUGCAUUCGAAACUGGCAGGCUAGAGUCUUGUAGAGGGGGGUAGAAUUCCAGGUGUAGCGGUGAAAUGCGUAGAUAUAUGGAGGAACACCAGUGGCGAAGGCGGCUCUCUGGUCUGUAACUGACGCUGAGGCUCGAAAGCGUGGGGAGCAAACAGG